CCUUUACAAUGCACGAAAGUGUGAUAAGGCAACUCCUUGUGCUUAUCCAAAAGAUAGGCUUUUUUAGUAUGUAAUGUAUACUAAGAAUAAGUGAUGGGCAAGACCGGUGCCAGCAGCCGCGGUAAUACCGGCGUCACAGGUGGAGAUCACGAUUACUGGGUCUAAAGUGUUCGUAGCUGGUCAUAUUAAGUACUCCUGUGAAAGUUACUGUAGCUUAACUACAGAAUUAGUCAAGAGAUACUGUAUGACUUGAGACCGGAAGAGGU
Molecule: ribosomal RNA, 266 nt
Filed under: uncultured euryarchaeote
Lineage: Archaea; Methanobacteriati; Methanobacteriota
Description: partial 16S ribosomal RNA
Rfam family: Archaeal small subunit ribosomal RNA
Source: RNAcentral